RNAcentral lists this unclassified non-coding RNA (223 nucleotides) under uncultured Actinomycetes bacterium. RNAcentral describes it as "uncultured actinobacterium contains 16S-23S intergenic spacer region". Lineage: Bacteria; Bacillati; Actinomycetota; Actinomycetes. The record is from RNAcentral.
UCCGAGUUGACCCCGGCAGUCUCCUACGAGUCCCCGGCAUAACCCGCUGGCAACAUGGAACGAGGGUUGCGCUCGUUGCGGGACUUAACCCAACAUCUCACGACACGAGCUGACGACAGCCAUGCACCACCUGCACACCAACCACAAGGGAACCGACAUCUCUGCCAGCGUCUGGCGCAUGUCAAGCCCAGGUAAGGUGGGGAUGACGUUCCCUUCCAUCACA